Molecule: long non-coding RNA, 6042 nt
Organism: Dromaius novaehollandiae (emu)
Lineage: Eukaryota; Metazoa; Chordata; Aves; Casuariiformes; Dromaiidae
Exons: 14
Source: RefSeq, a predicted model, not a curated record
UCCUCAGUUCUUCAGAUCUGAGAUACGGAGCACACGUGGUGAGUUCAUCUAAAAAGCCUGCACACGGCAUGUCCCUCGGGGAGGUAUCGUCAGCCUAACUACAGCUACAGCCAUGGUCCCCUAAUGGCAGUUGACUCUCUGCAUCCCUCCUGGACCAAAGCCAACUAAUUCCUUCCAAGAGGAAAUCUGGGUGCAGCUGAUGGCAUGUUCUCUCCAGGGAGCAGUACAGCCAAAUACUGUAACGCAAGUCACAUCGAGUCUGUGUCUCUGCGUCCAGGACAGUCUUCCGGUACUAUUCUGAUGUGACGUUUUGAAAUUCCUUCUCUUCUUCAAAGGAGAAUGUUCCUUGGAAGUUCCAGCCUGCGGAAAGCAGAAACUGCCACACCACAGCCAAGGCUGGUGAAAUCUUCCCAGAGUGAGGGAGCAGGAUUCUCCAGUUUGCUCCUGGAAGCACAGCCUCGCACCAGUUUUUGCUGUCUACCGGCAUUGUGAUCAGCACUGACACCUGAAAGAUACGGCAUUGAGAAACAAGUAUGUUAUUCUAAGGUGGAGGUCCUUUUGAAUGACACCGUGUAGUACCACCGGAGACUUGCCUCUCCCAUGAAGUGGUCUUCCCAGCACCCCGGCGUAGAGGUGUAACGGCAGAAAGCGCGUAGCACAACCCAAGUCAGGCACGUAUUUUCUGAUGCAAAUAUAAAUGGAAGAAAUCAUCCGUUUCCAGCAGCCGUGCAUAUAUCGGGGAAGGUGUCCUAAGACCGAGCUGAAUUUUAGAUGUUUGUGGGACGUUAGGUGUGCACUGCUGGAUCACACUUUCUGAGCGAGGAGUCCUGGAGGUGACGCGCAGUGGAGGCGCGUGGCCGGCUGCAGCUGGUCCCCGUGCUCGUGGAGAGCAGAGGCCGUGCCAGGCACCGCAGCGCAACGGGCCGCUCAUCCCGCGCCUUCGUGCCUCGGCCCCAGCCCACAAGGUUUCUGACGAGAGCCGAGCCAGAAAUGAAACCUGGAACCUGUUGCUGCUAAUCAAGUCAUGAUGGAAAGAGAAACCUACUGCAGCUGCCAGAUGUCCGUGAUCUCCAUCAAAAGUAGAAUGCAACCAAAAGAAGAAACAGUGAGCUCUACAAUGAGGAAAAUGAAUCCAGCAGUCCAUCCUAGCAAGCCCGCCGGAGUACAGGAGGAGACCUCAUACGAAGCCAGAAUGUGUUUUUUAGCUUGCAGUUCUUUUAAACCAUGUUAAAUCCUACUCAAAGCUAAUGGUGACCUCAGUGAGUCUGGUCUAAGCAAUGCUGAAGAACGGAAGAACGGAGUUGGAAGGCAGGAGCUGUUUCAGAGGUGCAUUCUUCUUCCUUUCAUAAAGUCCAAACAUGAAGAUUUUUAUAAACUUCAUUAGCUGCAAGAUAAAUACUCAGAAAUAAGAAUUGUGGUUACCUACACUAAAGUUGAGUCGGUGUGUACUUAAUGAAAAUUAGAUGUGAAAUGUAAUACCUGGAGGACAAAGAAGCAUUGAAAUCUAUUGCUCUUAAAGACAAAGAUCCUGCCGUCAAUGACUGAGCCUCCCUGAAAUCUUCUUAUCAGUUACUGCUGAGAUGAGAAGGAUAACAGGAAGGAGGAGUGCCUAAGUGGUUUUAAUGACAGCUAAUUUCAUCUAUUUAUCAAAUGACAGGUUGUUUUUUUUUCCUCAAAACUUGAUUGUCAUGACAAGAUGCUUUUGGAAGUCAUCUUUGUAAAAUAAAACUGACAAUUUUAAGCUACAAAGAGUUAUUGUAAUCUUUCUGUACAAUGUUGUCACUAUGGUAAACCGCUGGAAAGUCUGUAUUUUUUGAAGUAAUUUAACUUGCGUACUUUACUCAUUUGUUUGAAUAUCUGUUGACUGCCUUGUGAGAAGUUUCUUCCCAGAGUUAUUUUAUUCAAUAGAACAGUUAUUCUUACAACACUCAACUUAUUAUUGUCUAAAUUACUGUUGCCUUAGCCUCCCACAAAAAUGUUUCCUUUCAAUAAUUCUAAAACAAAUAAGGAAUGAAUGGGUUUUUGUCCUCUUCCUGUUUUGAUCGUCAUAUUUUUCUCUUUUAGUGAAAGCUUCUUCAGUCUUCAGAAUGACACUAUUACAAAGAAAGGUGCUUUACUUUUUUUGCUUUUUCCAACAGAAAGGGUCUUUUGGUACAGUGAUUUUUGAGUAUGUACAUUGCCAAGACACAAUUACUGGAGGGAGAGACAGAAACUGUUGGGAAUGUCAUGCCAUGCCAAAUUAAGAAUUAUUAGCUCUUACUUUGUGCAGUCUCUUCAACUAGAAUUGGACCUAUUGCAUCUGGCUUAUACUUUGACUCUAGUGGAACUAAUGUGUCCUUGGAAUUGCAUUUUAGAGUAACUUCAGAUUUAUGUUUUCUUCACAAGUCUGCUUUAAACUGCUGGGAUUAGCUUCAGAGAAGGCAAGAGAUACAGCCUCCUCUGUCAGCAGCUGUGCUGGUUAAAGAAGGGGGCUUCAGGUACUCUCUCUCCUGGAGAUUCUUGCCCCUGCUAGGCAAGCAGGCUGAACUGUUUCUGUGAGCACACCCAGACUUACUUCAGGCACUGAUAAUCAUGUUAUCAAAUAUUAGUUAACUGGUAGUUUGUUUUGACAAAAGGGCAGGGAGUACGCAGACCAGCUGCCCAGAUGGCCUAUCUGGGGGGAAGUGUGUUGACAGGAAUUGUGUUGAGGAGCUGAUGGUGACAUAGUCUUUUCAUCAGGUGCAGUUACAUCUCUAAGAGGAUGUGGCCAAAGUUUGAUGUGUUAGAAAGUUAUACAGUUCUGUCAAGUAUAAUUUUCAUGCUUCAGGGACAUACUGGAUAAUAUCAAAUGCACAUGUGUUCCUUUACUUAGUCCUUGUGCUUGACAACAUGAGUGGAGGGAGUUGGUAUGAGUGUGUAUAGGUGACAGAGGACACAGAUGCUUAUUUCAGGAAAGUUUGUAUUUGUGGUCAAGGCGAGUGAAUGGUACAAGUGUUUGUGUACCUAGAGAACAAUCUGUUGUGCUUUACUCAUCAAAGUUUUGACAUACAAUGCCCUGAGCUGCCUUUAGGGUAGAAAAAAACAAAACAAAAUCCAGCCCACAACAGAACACCCCCACUCCCCUGUGGUCUACACUGCUGCUUCUCUGUCUGAUGGUGCUGCUGAUGUUGGCAUCUGGUGAGACAUGCAAGCUUAAGGGCCCUGCUCUUGAUGUUCCCUAUGUCAAAAUUGGAACAGGAUGGACGAUCUCUAGAACUGGAAGGGGCACUAGACGAAAACAGUACGCUAAACAGCUCCUUCAAAAUUGACUCUUCUCACAGGGAGGCUGUCAAACGUAGGUGCUGCCCACAAGCGGUGCUUGAGAAUACGAAGAGCAAGAGGCUUGCCUGGCCCUGAGCGCUACAACUCUGCUUAGGCCUUGUCUUGGGGGACUGCUAGAUGAAAAGAAAUCAGUUCAGUCACCUCCAGUUCAGCAGUAUUGAAUUAGACGUCCUUUAGGUGGUCCUAAGCUAAAGGAGGAGGAAAUGUAUACCUAUCUCAUUAUCUCUCCCUCUAUCUCACCUGCCAUAAGUAAACUGAAUUAGGGAGGAAAAUAACACUACAUCUGGAAAGGAAUACCCCUAAAGUGCUGAUUUGCAAAGAACAGUUUCCCCUGGCUGCUUUGUCCUCAGCUGUACUACCCUACCAUAGCGCCUUCAGACCAGAGCCUGUGCCUGCUCUCCCCUAAGCACCUGGGCCUCAAGAAUUGUGGGAUGAAGAGAUGGGGCAUGGAGAUUCUUAAGACUGAGGCUUACAGAGAAAUUUGGAGAUGCACACAAACUUUAGAAGUCACUAAUACGUUCAAAUUAUAUGCAAGAAGAAGCAGAGAUGAUGUGGCAGUUCAUGCAUAUUGUUUUCCUGCCAAGUUUUGAGUUAACUUAACUUUGUACUGCUAUAUACUAAGAAAAUGUUGGACUUUCCAGUCAGAUUCUUUUACUAGCCUACGCUUGCAGCGUAAUGCUCAGUGUGUGCAUAGUUCAAGGAGGCAGAAUGCCAGCCACAUAGUUUCCAAAAUCCUCAAUUUGUCACUGGUUCAAUCUGUGCAAGUUUAAGGUGAAAUGGGCUGCAGUUUCUGGUUUGAGAGCUGUGCUCUGUAAUGGCAUCCCGCGGUCAAGCCACUGCUGAGCUUCCAGCAGCAUUGCUGAGUUCAGGGUACUGACCACAUGGAAGUGAAGUAUCUCAUCCAAAGGGCUACUUUAACAUCUCCAGCAACCUUUAAUUCAGAGGAGCUGAGCAUCCACAGCUCUAAGGCAGCCCAUAAUUCAUAUAAUCUGAUUAUUUUAAUACAGAUUAUUGUAGAACCCAUGUUAAAAUAGUUACUGAGAUGCUUUUAAUUUCCUAAUAAUUUUUUUUGCCUGCUCAAGUGCCUAUAUAAUAAUACCAUAUAGCUAUAUAUAUAUAUAAAAUACCUUAUAUGUAUAAUACCAUAUAGUUAUAUAUAAUUAAACCAGUAUUGCAAAAUAACUCCUUUCUUAUAUAGGACACUGUCAUGCUAUGUUAUGCCAAUGACUAAAACUUUACUUCUGAGCACUGAAAAUGAUCAAGUACUGUACUUAAGACUGUCAUACUGUUUGUGUAGCACUAAAAAGAAAACAAAAUACAGUUUUGGAGCAGACAGAUUUUUUUUUUCUUAUAAAUACUCCAAAUAAUAUGUUGGUUUCAACUAGACUUCCUGGCUCUACACUGAUUGCUGCAUUCUGUAUGAAUAUAGCAGGAUCCCAAGCAUUUCAUAAUGUACUUACUAUUUUAAGCACGUGAUUUUUAUGUAUUUUCUCCAUAAAUAUGUUGGACAAAACAUAAUUUACCUUCUUAAUUGGUACUGUGUAUUUACUUUCUAGCUCCUUUAACUUUAAUUCAAACUUGGUUGAAUAAAAUAUAGCUCAUUCCUUAAAAUAAUCUUUACAUCUGAAAUAUGACAAUUGAUUUCAUAUGACUGGUUUCAUACUUCAGACAUAGGAAAACAUUUCCGAGGCAUGAUGCGUUGACAACAUAUGGAGAUAAAAAUCGGCUAAUGAUAAACUCUAUGGUGUGAACUUUUAAUAAGAGUAAUGAAUCAUUAAAAAGAGUUAGAAAGGGAAUAGUAGAUUUUCUAUCAUUUGAGGUCUUUGAAUGAAGAUGGAAUGUUUUUAUAGAGGUUUAUGCUUGAACAAAUGGCUGGCUGAGGUACGGGAAUUCCUACCUGGGUCUGUGGUGUUCGUUACCACUAGGGUCAGCCUAGAUUAUCUUGGAGGUCCUGGCUUAGAAGAGAGGAAGGCAUCAGUACCCUAGAUUUAACAAAUAUCUUUGCAGAAGAGCAGCUUCCACUGAAAAGCUAUGAAGUUACUUACAUGUCUCAAAAAAAAAAAAAAAAAAAAAAAAAAAAAAAAGCUGGGGGAUGGUCACUUAACUACUAAUUUGGCAAGUUUCCUGCCUUCUAACAUCAUGUCUUUUCAAAGUUCCUUAUUCACCUGGCUGUUUUGUUUGGAACAUUGUAAUGUUUCAUUGGCUGCAGGUGGGUUUUAUUCAUUCAUCCAUGCAUCCUUUCUUCAACUGUCUAUCUUACAUCACCUGUUUUCAACAAGAGCCUGAGGUCUAUUGGGUAAUUUGAAUGUUUUGCAUUGAAGGGCUUUUGAAAAAUAUUUCUGAUGCUUUUGGUUUGUUUUGUAGUAGUACAGUCUAAGCAUCCAAACUCUGUCAAUGUCGUGCAAAAUAUGUAUUUCCGUAGAAUCUCAACUUGUCUCCAUUUCUCCUGAGUUAAUCAACCAGCAUAUGAAAUUUUUUUCAGAGCAAAUGUCUCUUGUAUAUUUCUACAAAAUGUAAUGUUAUCUUGUUGCUAGAAAUAAUUAUUUGGUUUAAAAUAAUCUGACAGCAACCCGCUGUGCAUAAAUUAGGUUUGUUCUCUAUGAAGAUUAGUUUGCUGGCAUCCAUUCGCAGGCGCAUCACCAAACACAAGUUGGUCGCAUCCGGUUAUUCUUCCUUUUUUCUUUUUAAUGGGCUUUUUGUUGCUGUACUGUCACCAAGGUUGAAAUAAAUGUGUGCAAAUCA